This 971-nucleotide ribosomal RNA is filed under the name uncultured archaeon. Its description in RNAcentral is "bacterial SSU rRNA". It matches the Rfam family "Archaeal small subunit ribosomal RNA", at positions 85 to 1058 of the family's 1478-position model. The record is from RNAcentral.
ACUGCUCAGUAACACGUGGACAACCUACCCUUCGGACGGGGAUAACCCCGGGAAACUGGGUGUAAUACCCGAUAGAUCUGAGAAGCUGGAAUGCACUCAGAUUGAAAGCUCCGGUGCCGAAGGAUGGGUCUGCGGCCUAUCAGGUAGUAGUGGGUGUAGCGUACCUACUAGCCUACGACGGGUACGGGUUGUGAGAGCAAGAGCCCGGAGAUGGAUUCUGAGACACGAAUCCAGGCCCUACGGGGUGCAGCAGGCGCGAAAACUUUACAAUGCCGGCAACGGCGAUAAGGGGACCUCGAGUGCCAGGUUACAAAUCUGGCUGUCGUAAUGCCUAAAAAGCAUUUCAUAGCAAGGGCCGGGCAAGACCGGUGCCAGCCGCCGCGGUAACACCGGCGGCUCGAGUGGUAACCGUUAUUAUUGGGUCUAAAGGGUCUGUAGCCGGCCGGAUAAGUCUCUUGAGAAAUCCAGCAGCUCAACUGUUGGGCUUUCAGGGGAUACUGUCUGGCUCGAGGCCGGGAGAGGUGAGAGGUACUUCAGGGGUAGGGGUGAAAUCUUGUAAUCCUUGAAGGACCACCAGUGGCGAAGGCGUCUCACCAGAACGGACCUGACGGCAAGGGACGAAAGCUAGGGGCACGAACCGGAUUAGAUACCCGGGUAGUCCUAGCCGUAAACGAUACUCGCUAGGUGUCGGCCACGGUGCGACCGUGGUCGGUGCCGUAGGGAAGCCGUGAAGCGAGCCACCUGGGAAGUACGGCCGCAAGGCUGAAACUUAAAGGAAUUGGCGGGGGAGCACCACAACGGGUGGAGCUUGCGGUUUAAUUGGAUUCAACGCCGGAAAUCUUACCGGGACCGACAGCAAUAUGAAGGCCAGCUGAAGACUUUGCCGGAUUAGCUGAGAGGUGGUGCAUGGCCGUCGUCAGUUCGUACUGUGAAGCAUCCUGUUAAGUCAGGCAACGAGCGAGACCCGUACC